Molecule: long non-coding RNA, 600 nt
Organism: Dunckerocampus dactyliophorus (ringed pipefish)
Lineage: Eukaryota; Metazoa; Chordata; Actinopteri; Syngnathiformes; Syngnathidae
Exons: 3
Source: RefSeq, a predicted model, not a curated record
UGACGUCAAGAAGGUUUCACUGCACAUCUUCAAACGGAGCCCUGCCCACUAUCCGUCAGCCACCCACAGGCGUGGGAGAUGUAUUCCCGGACUCGGUGCGGAAACAGGAAAGAGGCCCCUCCUCCUCUCCAUCCUUCCAUGUUGCGGCUGUGUUCCAGUCAGGCGCCAGGAAGGCAGGAAUGUUGUAACAUCUUGCCCAUCAUUCUGGCCUUACGUUGAUCUUAAAAGAUGCGUCGUCGGCGCUGAGCCUUACUCCGCUGAAGAGCUUUGGGCCUAAGUAGCUUUGGGAGCAGGGAGAUCUUUUAAGACGCUGCAGCCCGGCACGAGACCCGCGGGCAGCUGUACAUGCCAUGCCCACACAGUAGGUCAGGUCAGACGGGGACUCGGGAAGGUGGAAAGAGUAAAGACAAUUGAUGCCAGUCUUCAAAACGAUGGUCCUCAUUUGCGAUCUAGUCUUAAAAUGUUCUCCAAACACACUGGAACCUUUGGCGCCAGCGUUAGCGUCAUUCAUUCGUUCCAGAAGGUCCGACUAUAACCGAAUACAUUUUUCCCAUAAGAAAUCAUAUAAAUCCAAUUCAUCCAUUCCAGAAAGUCCACAAU